GCGGUAUUGAGCAUCUUUUCACGUGUGUUUUUGCCAUCUGGAUGUCUUCUUUGGCAAAGUGUCUAUUUAAAAAAUCAUCUCCAUAUAGGUGUGAAUUAUAUACCAUAAAAUUCAUACAUCUUAGUGAGUAGGCCAGUGCUUUGACAAAUGUGUACAUCUAUGUAAUCACAAACCAAGUCAAGCUAGAGACAGUUUUCAUCUUCUGAGCCAGUUCUGUUCUUCUCUUGCCAUUCAGCUUCCCCCAGCAACACCACACCAGGCAACCAAUAUUCUUUUUGUUACUAUAGAGUAGCGUUUCCUUUCCACAGUUGCAUAUCAAUGGCUUUAUAGAAAUGGAUUCUCCUAUCUGGCUGCUUUAUUUUAGCAUAAUGUCUGUGACAUUCUUCUGUGUGGUUUCUUGCAUCAGUAGCUCAUUUGUUUUCAUAAUAGAGUUGUGUAGCAUUAUAUGGAUAUAAAAUGUGUUUAUCCAUUCCAAUAUUGAUGGAUUUUUGGAGUGUUUCCAGGUUUUGGCAAUUAUGAUUGAGCUAUUUAUGAACAUUUGAAUUUAGUCUUUGAAUGUGCAUAUAUCUACUAUUUGUGGCAUAAAUAUCCAAAAGGGAAUUGCUGGGUUAUGUGCAUGAUUACAUCUGUAAGAAUCUGCCUUACUGAAUUUCAAGUUAACUGGCAUUUUGCAUCCCCACCAGCAAUGUUUGAGAAUUCCGGUUGAUUCUCAUCUUUAUUAACAAACAGGAUCAUCAGGUUCAAAAUUUUAACCAUUAUGUUGUGCAUAUUGUGGGAUGUCAUUUUGCUUUAAUUUUACGUUGCUGUUUGACUAAUGAUAGUGAACACCUUUUCAUCUGCUUAUUGGCCAUUAUUAGGUCUCCUUCUGUGAAAUUGAAUUUUUCCCAAAUUUAAGUAGGUAGUUUGAUAUUUGGAAAACAAUUCCUUUAUCAAGUAUAUGAUUUGCAAAUAUUUUCUCCCAUUUGUGUCUUAUCUUUUAAGUUUCUAACAGUUUAUUUCCAGGAACAUAUACCUUAACUUUUGAUGAAGUCCAAAUUGGUCAAUUUUUUAUUAUUUAUUUUGUGCUCUAUAUAGGACAUUUUUUCCAACUUCAAAGUUGCAAAGAUUUGUCAUACUUUUUUUCUCUCCAAAGUUUACAUAUAUACUUUUACAUUCAUGUCUAUGAUUGAUUUCUAGCUAUUUUGUGUAUGCAAUAGAGUUCAUCUUUUUUCCUCAUAUGGAUUUUCAGUUGUUUAGCACAAUUUGCUGGAAAUGAUAUCCUUUUACUUCCUGAAUAACUUGUCAGUUUUGUCAAAUAUCCACUGAAUAUAGGUAAGUGUGUGUGUGUGUGUGUGUGUGUGUGCACGCGUGUGCAUGCGCGCACGUGCACAUGUGUGUCUAUUUCUGGACUUUUUAUCAUUUCCCACAAAUUUAUAUAUUUCUCCUCAUAUCAUUAUGCCUUCCCUUGAUUACUGUAGUGUGAGUCCUCCCAUCUGUUCUUAAUUUUGGGGGGUAGAAUAAUGGCCUCCCCAAUGAUGCCCAUGUCUGAUCCCUGGUACCUGUGAUUAUGGUACCUUACUUAGAGAAAGGAACUUUUUAGAUAUUACUAAUGUUAAAGGUCUUGCAAUGGAAACUUUAUUCUUGAUUUUCUAAAUGGGCUCAACGUAAUACCAUAUGGAAAGAAGGGUGGGAUUGAGAGAGGCAGAGAUGGAGAAAGAUAGAGAAACAAGAUGAGGUAAGAAGGAUCAGAGAGAGACAGUUGCUGGCUUUGAAGAUGGAGAAAGAGACCAUGAACCAAUCAAUUCAGGAAGCCUCUAGAAGCUGGAAAAGACAAGGAAACUGAUUCUCCCUUGGAGCCCCAAGAGAGGAACACAGCUCUGCAACACCUUGAUUUAGUCCAGUGAUCCACCUGUCACAUUUUGAACCGACAAAAAUUUAAGAAAUAAAUUAGUACUGUUUAAACCUGAUGUAAGUAUGUGGAUUUUCUUUGUAGUUGCAGUAGACAAUUCAUACAUUAAUUUUUAAUGUUUUUUUUCUGGCUUUUUUUUUAGCUGUUUUCCAUUUUCUUUGAGUUUUGGUAUUACCUUGUUAAUUUCUACGGAAAGUCUACUAGGAUUUUCAUUGGAAUUGAGUGGAAUUUGUAUAUUAUUCUGGGGAUAGUUGAUUGUAAAAAUAUUUUUUCCUCCAAUUUAAGAUCUUGGUUUAUCGCUCCAAUUAUUUAGGCCUCCUUCAAGUUUUCUCAGGGAGGUUAUAUAAUUUCUGAAUACAAGUCAUGCACGUGUUUUGUUAAAUCCUUCCUUUUGUGGCACAGGUUUUUUUUUUUUCUUUUAAUACUAUUACAAAUUAUAAAGUUUUGAUUUCCCACUUCCCAUUACUAUUGUAUCAAAAUACAAUUUCAUUUAAUGUAUUGACCAUUUAGUAUUAUCUUCCUUAAUUUACUAUUAGUUUGGUAAUAUUUUGUAGGUUCUAUAGGUUAUUACAUCAAUUAUACAGUAUUUGAUGAUUAAGAAGAUUAGCAGGACUCCACAGCAUAGAUUUACAUUAGGGUUUGUAAAGGUUAAAGACUGUAGUACAACAGGAGAGAGAAACAAAGGCAAUUGUAGAGAAGUUUGAACACUUACAAGCACAGCCAUUCCGUACCAUUUUUUCCGGAUGUUUUUCAUCUUUGGGUUCCAAAUCACCAAGAUGCAUGUAAGGUAUCUUGUUUUCAGGUAGGCUAGUACACAAAUUUACAAAGAGGUCUCAUAACAUUAUGCUUACUUACUUAAACUAGUCUCUGUAACUGAUUAAACCAGGUAUAAACCAUAAAUCUAUAUAUUCCUACAAAAUUUAGACAAGCUUGUACAGUGUGUCUCCAGGGGUUUCAUACUUAAACCACACAUUAUAAAUCACUGGGUACCACAUGCUUAUCUUGGCCAAAGGGUUAGCACUAGAAUCCUAGCUAUCCCUGGAGAUAACCAUAGGACAGUUUCAUUCCACCUGCAAAAUAAUCCUAUCCUUCCAUAGUUCAUCUUCCUGAUCCUUUGUUAAGCUUUCUGAAGUACAGAUUGCUCAGGUAACUGCUCUUUUUUUCCAUGCAUUUUCAACAACAUUUAUAGACUAGAAAAAGCAAAAAGGCAAGCAACAAUUGCACAUAGGUAUUUCUUUCAAGAAACAUUUAAGUUUUAACAAAUAAACAUGUUUCUGAUCUUGACAACUCUGCUGCCUCCUUCCAGAACUCAAAUUUGAACUUUAUGUAGGUAUUAGGAGAGAGGUUUGAUUUCAUUGUAAUCAAUUUUCCAUUACAAGAUUUCUUAUUAUGGAAGGGAAAAUGUCUUACAUAAUACAAAUACAUCAAUCUUUUUAUUUAAUUAUCCAUUUUUCUCUGGUAUAUGUAUUGCAACUGCUAAGAAGUUUGGCAGCUUAAUUCUUAAGAUGCUAUUCUGGUGUCCUAGAAAAAAAUACUAUAUGCUGUAAUGGCCUCUUUUAUUACCAGCAUGCUAUGAAUACAUAAAUAUAAUUGAAUUGAGAAAAAUGUUCCUAAAAUUUUCACAGCGUUUUAGUGAUGAGAAAAAGCUUUGUAGUAACACUGUUUUCACUUUUGGUAAUUAUUUUAAGGCAGUUCAUCACCGAUCUUUUUGGAUUACUUUUACUUAGUGUUUAAUUCAUUAGCACAUAUUAAUUGAUAAAGCUUUUUGUUCUAGGGAUGGGAUUAUUAAGUUAGGUUGUUCAUUAAUUAACAUUAUCAAUAAAAUCUUCAAUUCUGUUAUGAACUAGCAUGUUGUGAUAUGCCAGGAUUUGAGAAUGCCAGACUCAAAAGUGGUGGCAAGUCGUUUAAGCUCAAUGACGAGUUAGAAUUUGAGUGCUAUGAUGGAUAUGAAAGCAGACUUGGAGGCAACACGGUUCCAUAGUAUGUGGUAACAAUGGCUGGUCUGAUACACCUACAUGUUAUGCUGUCCAGAAUAAGAAGAAGAGCUUGAUUACGUGGGGAGAUGAAUGGAUGUAGACUGUGCAAAACUUUGACAACAGAAUAGUGUUUGGGGAAAUAUUCCGACAAAAACUUACAAGAGUUGGACCAGAUUCAGUUCAGUGUUCCCAUUUUGGAUGGUCCCCUGAUCUUCCAACAUGUAAAGGUGAAUAUUUAUCCUACAAUUGCUGAAACAAUUGAAUUUUGGAUAUCAAGGUUUUCCUCUCUUAAUUUUCUUUUGGCUUCCAUUGUGUCUACAAUCUAAUGAAUUAAGCCAGAGAUAGACCCUGUGAAGGACAUGUGUUGGGUAGUAGAUACUUUAGACUUCUUAUUUAAGAAAUUAAUCUCCAAUUGUUCAUUGAAAUAUGCAGUGGAAAUAUGAAUAGAUGUUUUUAUGAUGUCUGACUCUGAAGGGACUUUUGUUACUUUUCCUUUUGCCUACAAUUCCACUAUUAAUACUGGACAUUUUUAAUAGCAUGGGCCUUAACUCAUUUCACUGAUUGUAUCUAAACUUUUGGUCAGUUCAGUCACAUAUAUGGCUCAAUCAAAGUUAAUAAUACUGAUCAAGCGCUCAUCUCAAAUGAUGUUUUUUUUUAGAAAGUUUUGAUAAAUUUUUUGUAUGUAAUAUGAAUAUUAAUAUAAUUGUACAGUCAUAUUUACUAAUUGGUUUGAAUACCUCUUUAGAAUAUCUAGAUUAUUGAACAGAUUUCUUUUGCUACUCUUUCCUGUCUGAGCUAUACUUUCAAAACUGAAUUCAGGGUGUGUACCAAGGUUUCUAAUUCACCCUUGAAGUUUCUCAUAGAGAGACAGGUCCUAAAGGUGCGGUGACGAGAGAACUACAAAGCAGGGGCUGAGACUCUCCCGGAGUGCAAGCAUCGGUCCCCUGGCUCAAGCCUCUUUCAUUUUUGCAAACUGUCUGACAGCAGCAAGCACAUACAACACGGUAUUUGACAUCUGGACAGGCCAUCCACCUGCAGUGUAUUCCAUACCGGGUCAUGAGUACAUCUGGCGCCGGACGAAACAUUCUUUUCCCAGGCCUGGCGCCCGUACGAUGUCCUUCUGGAGAGAAGGAGCAGUCCCGGCGUCCUUCCGGCGUCCUGGGAAUGAAACAGCUUUCAGUUCCUUGCUGCUCCGUCCCUUUCCUUCAGGACAUUCUUACCGUGCCUCCGGCCUCUUGUUCUCCAACAGUUUCUUACGUUUACAGGAUUGUAAGGGCAGGUAAAAUCAUGUGGUACGCCUCCUCAACCCCCCAGUGGGGAGAUUAAGGAAACAAACAAAGAAAAAUAUGAACUUAACAAAGUGGUGGAAUAUGUUUGCAACUCUGGAUUUUUGAUGACGUAUUCUAAUAAAAUUCAGUGUGUAGAUGGAACAUGGACAACCUUGCCUCUAUGUAGUGUUUUUGCAGAGGGCAGUACAUGGGGUCACGUACCUGGACUUGCUUAUGGUUAUGUUGUGGAGUCUUCUGCCCCUCCCUUUCACCAUGGAGCUUGAGUGGAGUUCAGUUGCAGAGAAACAUGUACAUUGAUUGGACCCAGAUCAAUUACAUGUGACAGUGGACGGUGGACCCCACUUCCUCAGUGUGUUGCAACAAAUGAACUUAAGAAGUGUAAAUCAUCACAGUUAGUUUCAUAUGAGGUGAUUGAUCAUAAUACCAACAUGCAUUACAAAUGUAGAGGAAGAACAGACUACAAACACUCAAUCUGCAUAAAUGGAAGAUGGGAUCCUGAAAUACCCUGCACAGGUAAGCUCUUAUUUAUAAUGUUUUUAAGAAUUUAUUUGGUUUCUUUCUAACCUGUAAAAGAAUGAUCUUUGUGCCUUAAAAAAUUAGCUCUUUAUUAUUACAAAUAAUUUUCAAGUGGGAAGGUAAUUUUAAAAAAGAGCCAAAACACUGCUUCUAAAUGCUUACUGUAUCAUUAUUGUAUUAGUGUUACUGUAUCAUUACCGUAUUAGCGAUAUAACAUUACCACCUACAAACUUGGCUUUAAAUUAACAUCUGGGCAGUAGGUGUACAAAUUACUAUUGGAAUACCAUUGCUUUUAACUCCCUUUAUUACACACAAAGGUACCUAUACCUAUGCCUAUGCCUAUGCCUAUAACUAGUAUGUAUCUGUGUACCUAUAAAUAUAUCCAUUAAUGUAUCUAUGUAUGUAUCUAUUUAUGGAUGCAUGAAUCUCCCUUAUCACCUAUUUAUUUAUGUGUUUAUCUGUCUUGAAACUUCUGUAUCCGCUGACACCACUGAUUCCUAUUGAAUAGCACAGGCUUUAUUCCAUUUUUCCACUCUUCAUAUUUGUAUCUCUCUUCUCUAUCAGUAGGACACCUUAACUUACUCUCCUCAAUAUUUUAACUAAUUUCCCCAAGCCUAGAAUACAUGGAAAGUAGUGUCACGUGAAUAUAAGGACCCAACCUACUAUCUAUGGUUCAACGUAUUUUUUGUUCUUUUGUAAAAGGAAAUAAAUAUUUAUGUGCAAUGAAGCAUAUAUGCUCUACAUUUUCUUCUAGAAGCUUUAUAGUUUUAGCAUUUAUAUUUAGGUAUAUCAUCCAUAUUAUAUUAAUUUUUGAGUUUGGCAUAAAAUAGGGGUUGAUUUUUAAAAAAAUAUAGGUAGCCAAUUGUUCUAGCAAUAUGUGUGGAAAGGACUUUGAAAUGAAAAUCCGUUAACUAUGUAAGCAUUGAUCUACUUCUAGACUCUCUACUCAGCCCAUGUAUCCAUUUAUCUAUCUUUAUUCCUGCCCCAUUGCCUUGGUAACUAUAGCUUUAUAGCAAGUCUUGAAGUCUGAUUUGUGUUCUCCGAUAUGUUCUUGCUAUUCAAAAUUGCUUUACUCAUUCUGGUCUUUUCAUUUCCAUAAAAAUUUCAAGGAAAGCUUAUGGAUUUCUAUAAGAUAUCUGCUUGUAUAAUGAAAUGGAUGGUUUGUAUAAUGAAAAAUAAAUUAGGGAGAAUUGGCAUCUUAAUCAUAUUGAGUGUUCAAUCCAUAAACAUACUAGAUUUCUUCAAUUAUUUUUUAUGCUUCUAUUUUCCCAAUAAUGUUUUAAGUGUAGAAGUUUUAAAGCUAUAAAAAAAUUAUUCCUGUUUUAUAUUUUUAUGCUAUAAAUGCAGUUUUUCAAAAUUAUAUUUUCCAGUUUUACUGCAAGUAUAAAGAAAUGCACUUGACUUUUGUAUAUUGAUUUUAUAGUUUGAAACUAUAUUAAGUUGCCUUAUUUUAUGUAUCAUUUUGUUGAUCUGUUAUAGUUUUCUUUUUUUUUAUUUAGAUCUGUUACAAUUUUCUAUGAGCAGUUAUGUCAUUACAAAUACAAGAUUUUAAAUCUGUCUGAGUCUGUUCUUAUUUUUACUUUUUGUUUAUUUUCUUAUCUUGUUGCAUUGGCUAGGACCUUAAAUAAACUUUUUAAAUGUUUUAUGUAUUUUUGAGAGAGACAGAGACAGAAUGCGAGUG
This is a long non-coding RNA of Felis catus (domestic cat), 7350 nucleotides long. RefSeq lists it as uncharacterized. The transcript is spliced from 6 exons. The record is from RefSeq and is a predicted model, not a curated record. Lineage: Eukaryota; Metazoa; Chordata; Mammalia; Carnivora; Felidae.